Molecule: ribosomal RNA, 536 nt
Filed under: uncultured Arthrobacter sp.
Lineage: Bacteria; Bacillati; Actinomycetota; Actinomycetes; Micrococcales; Micrococcaceae
Description: bacterial SSU rRNA
Rfam family: Bacterial small subunit ribosomal RNA
Source: RNAcentral
UGGGGAAUAUUGCACAAUGGGCGAAAGCCUGAUGCAGCGACGCCGCGUGAGGGAUGACGGCCUUCGGGUUGUAAACCUCUUUCAGUCAGGAACAAGCCACUUGUGAUGAGGGUACUGGCAGAAGAAGCACCGGCUAACUACGUGCCAGCAGCCGCGGUAAUACGUAGGGUGCGAGCGUUAUCCGGAAUUAUUGGGCGUAAAGAGCUUGUAGGCGGUUUGUCGCGUCUGCUGUGAAAGCCCGGGGCUUAACUCCGGGUCUGCAGUGGGUACGGGCAGGCUAGAGUGAUGUAGGGGUAACUGGAAUUCCUGGUGUAGCGGUGGAAUGCGCAGAUAUCAGGAAGAACACCGAUGGCGAAGGCAGGUUACUGGGCAUUUACUGACGCUGAGAAGCGAAAGCAUGGGGAGCGAACAGGAUUAGAUACCCUGGUAGUCCAUGCCGUAAACGUUGGGCACUAGGUGUGGGGAGCAUUCCACGUUUUCCGCGCCGUAGCUAACGCAUUAAGUGCCCCGCCUGGGGAGUACGGCCGCAAGGCUAA